RNAcentral lists this ribosomal RNA (491 nucleotides) under uncultured bacterium. RNAcentral's name for it is "partial 16S ribosomal RNA". It matches the Rfam family "Bacterial small subunit ribosomal RNA", at positions 29 to 507 of the family's 1533-position model. The record is from RNAcentral.
GUGAACGCUGGCGGUAGGCCUAACACAUGCAAGUCGAACGGCAGCACAGUAAGAGCUUGCUCUUACGGGUGGCGAGUGGCGGACGGGUGAGGAAUACAUCGGAAUCUACUUUUUCGUGGGGGAUAACGUAGGGAAACUUACGCUAAUACCGCAUACGACCUACGGGUGAAAGCAGGGGAUCUUCGGACCUUGCGCGAUUGAAUGAGCCGAUGUCGGAUUAGCUAGUUGGCGGGGUAAAGGCCCACCAAGGCGACGAUCCGUAGCUGGUCUGAGAGGAUGAUCAGCCACACUGGAACUGAGACACGGUCCAGACUCCUACGGGAGGCAGCAGUGGGGAAUAUUGCACAAUGGGCGCAAGCCUGAUCCAGCCAUACCGCGUGGGUGAAGAAGGCCUUCGGGUUGUAAAGCCCUUUUGUUGGGAAAGAAAAGCAGCAGGUUAAUACCCCGCUGUUCUGACGGUACCCAAAGAAUAAGCACCGGCUAACUUCGUG